UACGGGGGGGGCAAGCGUUGUUCGGAAUUACUGGGCGUAGAGGGCUCGUAGGCGGCCAACUAAGUCGGACGUGAAAUCCCCAGGCUCAACCUGGGAACUGCAUCCGAUACUGGAUGGCUUGAAUUCGGGAGAGGGAUGCAGAAUUCCAGGUGUAGCGGUGAAAUGCGUAGAUAUCUGGAGGAAUACCGGUGGCGAAGGCGGCAUCCUGGACCGACAUUGACGCUGAGGAGCGAAAGCCAGGGGAGCAAACGGG
This 253-nucleotide ribosomal RNA is filed under the name uncultured bacterium. RNAcentral describes it as "partial 16S ribosomal RNA". It matches the Rfam family "Bacterial small subunit ribosomal RNA", at positions 524 to 776 of the family's 1533-position model. The record is from RNAcentral.